Molecule: non-coding RNA, 45 nt
Filed under: Schistosoma margrebowiei
Lineage: Eukaryota; Metazoa; Platyhelminthes; Trematoda; Strigeidida; Schistosomatidae
Source: RNAcentral
AUCCAGCUGACGAUUCCCAAAUGGGACGAAACGCGCGUCCUGGAU